ACGCUGGCGGCAGGCCUAACACAUGCAAGUCGAGCGGAAACGACACUAACAAUCCUUCGGGUGCGUUAAUGGGCGUCGAGCGGCGGACGGGUGAGUAAUGCCUAGGAAAUUGCCUUGAUGUGGGGGAUAACCAUUGGAAACGAUGGCUAAUACCGCAUAAUGCCUACGGGCCAAAGAGGGGGACCUUCGGGCCUCUCGCGUCAAGAUAUGCCUAGGUGGGAUUAGCUAGUUGGUGAGGUAAUGGCUCACCAAGGCGACGAUCCCUAGCUGGUCUGAGAGGAUGAUCAGCCACACUGGAACUGAGACACGGUCCAGACUCCUACGGGAGGCAGCAGUGGGGAAUAUUGCACAAUGGGCGAAAGCCUGAUGCAGCCAUGCCGCGUGUAUGAAGAAGGCCUUCGGGUUGUAAAGUACUUUCAGUUGUGAGGAAGGGGGUAGCGUUAAUAGCGSUAUCUCUUGACGUUAGCAACAGAAGAAGCACCGGCUAACUCCGUGCCAGCAGCCGCGGUAAUACGGAGGGUGCGAGCGUUAAUCGGAAUUACUGGGCGUAAAGCGCAUGCAGGUGGUUCAUUAAGUCAGAUGUGAAAGCCCGGGGCUCAACCUCGGAACUGCAUUUGAAACUGGUGAACUAGAGUACUGUAGAGGGGGGUAGAAUUUCAGGUGUAGCGGUGAAAUGCGUAGAGAUCUGAAGGAAUACCAGUGGCGAAGGCGGCCCCCUGGACA
RNAcentral lists this ribosomal RNA (723 nucleotides) under Vibrio sp. 13A02. RNAcentral's name for it is "bacterial SSU rRNA". It matches the Rfam family "Bacterial small subunit ribosomal RNA", at positions 33 to 735 of the family's 1533-position model. Lineage: Bacteria; Pseudomonadati; Pseudomonadota; Gammaproteobacteria; Vibrionales; Vibrionaceae. The record is from RNAcentral.